This 314-nucleotide ribosomal RNA is filed under the name uncultured prokaryote. Its description in RNAcentral is "bacterial SSU rRNA". It matches the Rfam family "Bacterial small subunit ribosomal RNA", at positions 26 to 352 of the family's 1533-position model. The record is from RNAcentral.
AGGAUUAACGCUGGCGGCGUGCCUGACACAUGCAAGUCGAACGAGGCCGCAAGGCCUAGUGGCGGACGGGUGAGUAACACGUGACCAACCAACCUCGAAGUUGGGAAUAGCUCUGCGAAAGCAGGGGUAAUACCGAAUGUGGCCCGGAGCGGAUAUCCGCACCGGUCUAAAGAUUUAUCGCUUCGAGACGGGGUCGCGGCUUAUCAGCUUGUUGGUGGGGUAACGGCCUACCAAGGCGAUGAUGGGUAGCUGGUCUGAGAGGAUGAUCAGCCAGACUGGGACUGAGAACGGCCCAGACUCCUACGGGAGGCAGC